CAAGCCCCGCGCGCGCCGAGCGACCCGCAGUGCCCGAGCCCGGCGCACGCACGACCCGCCCCCCGACUCGCGUUAUUGCUGUGCACACGCGGGCCGCCGUGACGCGCGGGCAUUGUGUGCAGCGAGCAGAAAACAACGGCGAGCGCCGCCAGCGCCGAGGAGCGCCCCCAGGAAAGAGGCAGAUGCUGGGCCGCCCUUUUCCGUACUGGGAGACCCAGACGGGGCGGGAACGGGGGUGUAGGGGGGGGUGGGGGAGGCCAGGAGUGGCGAGCAGAGAGUGGCCCCUGGUGGGCCGCCGCUCGCGCAUCUUUGCAAGGGGAAGCAGGCGGCAAAUAGAGGAGCUGGUGAACGGGGGCUUGUGGGGGGGGGCCCUAGUUUACUGGAGGUCACCCUCGGCGGCGGGAGGGGAGGGGCUAGGGCCUGGAGCUGGGCACGGCGCAGCGCCCCACGCUCUCGGGGAAAUCUGGGGGCCGUUGGCAUCACGUCAUGCAGAGCCCAACAGCCGCGGCGAAAAGAGGCAAGAGAGCUAAAAAUACUUCCGUGGGGAGCCGGCCGGAGGAGGGGCAGCACUGCCGAGGGGCUGAUUACGCGGAACGAAGUUGACUUUGGGGCGCGGAGCUUCCCGAGCCCCUGGCGGCGGGGGUGGGGGGGGGGUCUUGCGCGCCGGAUGCGCCCACAGCUCGGGAGAGGGGCCGGGAGGGAGCCCCUGGGCUGGCUCUGCCCGGGAAGCCUGCUCGGCUGUCGCUGGCCCGCCCCGUGCGGGGCAGCCCGGCCCUCUGCUUACGUGACUGGUGGCCACGCCGGAGCCCCGGCACGGGCUUUGGCUUUUCAGAAACCGCCCCUCCCGGCGAAUGCACACUCCCUCCCCCGAGAAUAAUCGCAAACUGAUUCGGGCUACACGGCCGGCCGCGGAUGCGCCUUUUCUGGAAACCCAGCACUCGGAGAAAACAGGAGAGAAGAGAAAGAAAAAAAGGCACCCGACCGCCCAGCACAAAUCCUUGUUUUUGCCUGAGGACCGGUGGGUGCACAAUUGUGCGGCCAACCCGUGGAUACUUUAAACCCGGAGGCCUGGGGACUCGGUCAACGAAGGUGUUUUUGUCUUUGAGGGUUGUUGUUGUGUUGGGGUUUGGGGGGGGGGCGGAUUGCAAGAUCUGACACGUUGCAAUCGGGGCUUUAUUUUUUUUAACCCCCCCACCACACACACACACACACACACACAAACACACACACCAUUGAUCUUCCUACUUGCUCGGACAGAUUAAACAGCUCGAUUUUC
Molecule: RNA transcript, 1276 nt
Organism: Sorex araneus (European shrew)
Lineage: Eukaryota; Metazoa; Chordata; Mammalia; Eulipotyphla; Soricidae
Gene name: serine/arginine repetitive matrix protein 1-like
Exons: 2
Source: RefSeq, a predicted model, not a curated record